RNAcentral lists this long non-coding RNA (357 nucleotides) under Mus musculus (house mouse). RNAcentral describes it as "predicted gene, 33926". Lineage: Eukaryota; Metazoa; Chordata; Mammalia; Rodentia; Muridae. The record is from RNAcentral.
GAAGAUGACCAUGUCCCCCAUGAGCCACAAGGGAGCCUCCUCCUGUGGGGUGCUUCUGAAACCAUGCCUGGCGGCCCAUUGAAGAUGUGCAGAUUUUAUCUAUUAUUAGCGUGUGAGUCCACCCACAUGCAAAUAUGCGCACCUGGGAGCACUGUGGUCCGUAUUUGGCAGGCUGAGGACAACUGCUGCGAAGUUCUCAACCCUCAGUACAGAAUUCAGGGACGUGGACCCACGUCGUCAGCCGGCUCCACAGGCUGUUGGACGAUCACGGUUCUCGGCCAUCUCCACACGCUGCCUUGCCAUCAUGGUUCUCGGUCAUCUCCACACGCUAUCUGGCAAUCACGGUUCUCAGCCAUC